Molecule: long non-coding RNA, 2639 nt
Organism: Vicia villosa (hairy vetch)
Lineage: Eukaryota; Viridiplantae; Streptophyta; Magnoliopsida; Fabales; Fabaceae
Exons: 6
Source: RefSeq, a predicted model, not a curated record
UUACUCCCAAUAUCCUCUUCCAAACAGUAUUUGUACCCAUUUUCACUUUUUCACUUUUAUUUUUUCUUGCUCUCACGUUUAGUUCCCUUUCGUUUUUUCUCAGAUUGCUUUUUUCUUCCUUCUCCCUCUCCUUCUUCUUUCUCCCUAUUCUUCUUCCUCCUUCAUCUUCUUCUUACUUCUCCAUCUCCUUCUUCAUUGUUAUUAUUGAGUUUCAUACAAGUUCGAUUUUGAUUUUGAUUUGGUGUUUGUUGUUUCAGGUUUGGUGGUGUUGACUCACGCGAAAGGGGGAAGCUUCGUUGACGGUGCGGUUAUUUGAACAUAUGAUCUACGAAAUUAUGGCGGUGGAUAUGACGUUUCCGGCGAUAGGCGGUUUGAUAGUGGUAUACUAUAGUAGCGGCAACACGUUUUUUGACGGCGGGUGUGGUGGUUGGAUUCAAAAUUAUUUUUGUGUGACUUUUUGGUCAAAUCUGUCAUGAGGUUUGAAAGCUUGCUUUCCCCCAGUUUGUGUCUGCAGCGCUGUUACCGGCAUGGAAAACAUUGCAAUUUUGCUGUGAGAAGUUAUACAUCUUAUGUAUUCAACUUACUAAUCUCUGGCUUUUGUUAUGACAAAAUUUGUUUACAAAAUAGCAUCUUAUGUAUUCAACUUACUAACCUGUAGCUUUUCCUUCUAGAAAUUUUAGAUUGAUUCCGAUAAGUCGGUAGUCGAAUUAAAAAUUCACUAUAAAGAUUUGGUUCAUGAUGUAUUCGAAAUUGAUUCAAAUCAGGUUGAGGUUCCGAGCUACAUCAAGAUACAGGUGGUCAAUAGUGGUUCAUUUUCUGAACGGGAUUGUUCUAAUGAAAUUUCGUUUAGUUUGAAGUUUAAACAUGGCGGUCUUAACGAGACUAAUAAAAGAACAACAUGGACUGGAGAAUAACAUAGGUAUCUGAAAUAUUUUACUUCAAUUUAGGUUUUUAUUGUGUACUAUUGUCUACGUUUUGCAACUCACGCGUCACGUGUUCGACUAAAUGUUUCAACUGGUUUCUUUCUGCUAAUUAUUAAUUACUUUGUAGCCUGUCUUAUGUAGCUGUAUUGAUAGUGCUUGAUACGGGAAGUGAGAUUAGUCAUAGAGAAACUUGAUUGAUAAAAGCAGUGGUGUGUUUCUUACACGAGCAGUCCUCCCGUAAUCUUCAAGAACAUGAAAACCAUUGUUUUUGGGUGAACCUUUAUUCUUUGUUCAUGACUAAAGGUUUAGUAAAUAAUGUAAUAUUUCUCUUUCAGUACAUGCAGAACAUUAGGGAAGCGGCGUUUUCCAUCAAGAAGAUGCCCUUGACCAAGGAUAAAAAGUUAUUUGGAAGAUGUUCUUGCCCACAAAAAAACCAUUCCAUUCAGACGUUUUUGCCAUGGUGUUGGCAGGACAGCUCAGGCCAAGAAUAGACAUUCCAAUGGGCAAGGAUGGUGGCCUGCCAAAACUGAAAUGAGAAAUAGUUUUCACCACAAUGCUGGAAGUACGAUUUAUAAAGGCCAGUUGCUAAGGCAUUUGGUGGAAGGGAAAAGGAUGCCGUUGAUGCCAAAUCGACAAUUUAAGACUUUUAUUUUUGCACUGUUUAAUGAGAAUUUGAAACAUGGCUCAAUUACUGGUGCUGCUUAUAAAAGACUGGAGUUAGGACGUAACUAUCAAUCAUGUUGAGGGUCCUGCUAGGAUGUUGAUAUUACACUCACCUUUCUGGAAAGAAGCUCCUGCUGCUCAUUUUCUUAUUAUGAAUCUUUUGAGACUUUACCUCCUGAUAGUGUGCCAAAAAAUAAUGCUUUCGUUCUGUAAUUCGGGAGCCUCAGAGUUUUCUUAUCGAUGAAAAAAAUAAUGUCAAAAAGCCAUGUGACAGCAUCUUCCAAAUGCACAUUCAAUCUGCUGAUUAGGAAACAUAUUCAACGGUUUCUUCCUCGAAACAAAAUUCAAAAACAAGAUUUGCAUCUGAUGAUUGCGAUGUAGUGAUUUGCAUCUGAUCAGGAAACACACCUCAGCACUCGGUGUUUCUCUGGAUAGGCUCGUCGAAGCAGCUGAUUCGACUUCAAUAUGUUUUUCCUUUCUUUUCCUAUUUUAACUGUGAUUCAACAUUGCUUCUGUCUUUGGCAGUGUUUAUUACCUGGAGGAGUUGCAUGAGUUCCCAACAUCCAAAUUGUGAUUCUGGGAAACUACCUUGAAGUUAAAGAUUCAAGUUGCCAUGCUGCCAGCAAUUAUUUUUCAUUGAUUAUAGUCAAAUUUCUAUUUUUAAUGUAUACAUUGUUGUCUAGAUCAUGUGUUGAUUAUGUGCAAUGGUUUUUUAGUUUUUAUCAUGUACUACAUUGUUCUUUUAGGCAAAACUGUCUCUAUUGUACUAAAAAUAUUAAUAGUAAUUGAAAAGGUUUAUUUAAUCUGUAAAAUAAAUGGAUAGUGUAUUUCAAUUAAGUAUCUUUCUUUUUUUUUUUUGAAAUCAAGGAUUAUAUUAAAGAACUCCAACCAUUCAAGAUUACAACACCAAAAGGCCAAAAGCAAGAAAAUUACAAACCGAUUGAAACUAACUUAAGUAAAACAAUGGGUUAUUGCUAAACUCAUAGAAGUUAUAAUUGGAAUGAGUAAUUUUCCCGAUAUACGACCACCUCCACACAAGAGUUUUACAACUCC